UACGGCGAGUGAGCGGCAAAAGCUCAAAUUUGAAAUCUGGCACCUUCGGUGUCCGAGUUGUAAUUUGAAGAAGGUAACUUUGGAGUUGGCUCUUGUCUAUGUUCCUUGGAACAGGACGUCACAGAGGGUGAGAAUCCCGUGCGAUGAGAUGCCCAAUUCUAUGUAAAGUGCUUUCGAAGAGUCGAGUUGUUUGGGAAUGCAGCUCUAAGUGGGUGGUAAAUUCCAUCUAAAGCUAAAUAUUGGCGAGAGACCGAUAGCGAACAAGUACAGUGAUGGAAAGAUGAAAAGAACUUUGAAAAGAGAGUGAAAAAGUACGUGAAAUUGUUGAAAGGGAAGGGCUUGAGAUCAGACUUGGUAUUUUGCGAUCCUUUCCUUCUUGGUUGGGUUCCUCGCAGCUUACUGGGCCAGCAUCGGUUUGGAUGGUAGGAUAAUGACUAAGGAAUGUGGCUCUACUUCGGUGGAGUGUUAUAGCCUUGGUUGAUACUGCCUGUCUAGACCGAGGACUGCGUCUUUUGACUAGGAUGUUGGCAUAAUGAUCUUAAGCCACCCGUCUUG
This 555-nucleotide ribosomal RNA is filed under the name Debaryomyces hansenii. RNAcentral's name for it is "eukaryotic LSU rRNA". It matches the Rfam family "Eukaryotic large subunit ribosomal RNA", at positions 85 to 656 of the family's 3401-position model. Lineage: Eukaryota; Fungi; Ascomycota; Pichiomycetes; Serinales; Debaryomycetaceae. The record is from RNAcentral.